GACGAACGCUGGCGGCGUGCUUAACACAUGCAAGUCGAACGGAAAGGCCCUGCUUUUGUGGGGUGCUCGAGUGGCGAACGGGUGAGUAACACGUGAGUAACCUGCCCUUGACUUUGGGAUAACUUCAGGAAACUGGGGCUAAUACCGGAUAGGAGCUCCUGCUGCAUGGUGGGGGUUGGAAAGUUUCGGCGGUUGGGGAUGGACUCGCGGCUUAUCAGCUUGUUGGUGGGGUAGUGGCUUACCAAGGCUUUGACGGGUAGCCGGCCUGAGAGGGUGACCGGCCACAUUGGGACUGAGAUACGGCCCAGACUCCUACGGGAGGCAGCAGUGGGGAAUAUUGCACAAUGGGCGGAAGCCUGAUGCAGCAACGCCGCGUGCGGGAUGACGGCCUUCGGGUUGUAAACCGCUUUCGCCUGUGACGAAGCGUGAGUGACGGUAAUGGGUAAAGAAGCACCGGCUAACUACGUGCCAGCAGCCGCGGUGAUACGUAGGGUGCGAGCGUUGUCCGGAUUUAUUGGGCGUAAAGGGCUCGUAGGUGGUUGAUCGCGUCGGAAGUGUAAUCUUGGGGCUUAACCCUGAGCGUGCUUUCGAUACGGGUUGACUUGAGGAAGGUAGGGGAGAAUGGAAUUCCUGGUGGAGCGGUGGAAUGCGCAGAUAUCAGGAGGAACACCAGUGGCGAAGGCGGUUCUCUGGGCCUUUCCUGACGCUGAGGAGCGAAAGCGUGGGGAGCGAACAGGCCUAGAUACCCUGGUAGUCCACGCUGUAAACGGUGGGUACUAGGUGUGGGGUCCAUUCCACGGGUUCCGUGCCGUAGCUAACGCUUUAAGUACCCCGCCUGGGGAGUACGGCCGCAAGGCCAAAACUCAAAGGAAUUGACGGGGCCCCGCACAAGCGGCGGAGCAUGCGGAUUAAUUCGAUGCAACGCGUAGAACCUUACCUGGGUUUGACAUGGAUCGGGAGUGCUCAGAGAUGGGUGUGCCUCUUUUGGGGUCGGUUCACAGGUGGUGCAUGCCUGUCGUCAGCUCGUGUCGUGAGAUGUUGGGUUAAGUCCCGCAACGAGCGCAACCCUUGUUCACUGUUGCCAGCACGUUAUGGUGGGGACUCAGUGGAGACCGCCGGGGUCAACUCGGAGGAAGGUGGGGAUGACGUCAAGUCAUCAUGCCCCUUAUGUCCAGGGCUUCACGCAUGCUACAAUGGCUGGUACAGAGAGUGGCGAGCCUGUGAGGGUGAGCGAAUCUCGGAAAGCCGGUCUCAGUUCGGAUUGGGGUCUGCAACUCGACCUCAUGAAGUCGGAGUCGCUAGUAAUCGCAGAUCAGCAACGCUGCGGUGAAUACGUUCCCGGG
RNAcentral lists this ribosomal RNA (1343 nucleotides) under uncultured bacterium. Its description in RNAcentral is "16S ribosomal RNA". It matches the Rfam family "Bacterial small subunit ribosomal RNA", at positions 28 to 1378 of the family's 1533-position model. The record is from RNAcentral.